This 77-nucleotide transfer RNA is filed under the name Hyphomicrobiales bacterium. RNAcentral's name for it is "tRNA-Asp". It matches the Rfam family "tRNA". Rfam says of the family: Transfer RNA (tRNA) molecules are approximately 80 nucleotides in length. Their secondary structure includes four short double-helical elements and three loops (D, anti-codon, and T loops). The record is from RNAcentral. Lineage: Bacteria; Pseudomonadati; Pseudomonadota; Alphaproteobacteria; Hyphomicrobiales. RNAcentral also lists the same sequence under 3 other names.
GGGGGCGUAGCUCAGUCGGUUAGAGUGCCGGCCUGUCACGCCGGAGGUCGCGGGUUCGAGCCCCGUCGCUCCCGCCA